CAGACAGUUGGACUGGGGGUGUGAGAGAACCAGACAGUUGGACUGGGGGAGUGAGAGAACCAGACAGUUGGACUGGUGGAGUGAGAGAACCAGACAGUUGGACUGGUGGAGUGAGAGAACCAGACAGUUGGACUGGUGGAGUGAGAGAACCAGACAGUUGGACUGGUGGAGUGAGAGAACCAGACAGUUGGACUGGUGGAGUGAGAGAACCAGACAGUUGGACUGGGGGUGUGAGAGAACCAGACAGUUGGACUGGGGAGUGAGAGAACCAGACAGUUGGACUGGGGAGUGAGGGAACCAGACAGUUGGACUGGUGGAGGGAGAGAACCAGACAGUUGGACUGGGGUGUGAGAGAACCAGACAGUUGGACUGGGGAGUGAGAGAACCAAACAGUUGGACUGGGGGUGUGAGAGAACCAGACAGUUGGACUGGGGGAGUGAGAGAACCAGACAGUUGGACUGGGGAGUGAGAGAACCAGACAGUUGGACUGGGGUGUGAGAGAACCAGACAGUUGGACUGGUGGAGUGAGAGAACCAGACAGUUGGACUGGUGGAGGGAGAGAACCAGACAGUUGGACUGGGGGAGUGAGAGAACCAGACAGUUGGACUGGGGAGUGAGAGAACCAGACAGUUGGACUGGUGGAGUGAGAGAACCAGACAGUUGGACUGGGGGUGUGAGAGAACCAGACAGUUGGACUGGGGAGUGAGAGAACCAGACAGUUGGACUGGGGGAGUGAGAGAACCAGACAGUUGGACUGGGUGAGUGAGAGAGCCAGACAGUUGGACUGGGGGAGUGAGAGAACCAGACACUUGGACUGGGGGUGUGAGAGAACCAGACAGUUGGACUGGGGUGUGAGAGAACCAGACAGUUGGACUGGGGGAGUGAUAGAACCAGACAGUUGGACUGGGGGAGUGAGAGAACCUGACAGUUGGACUGGGGGAGUGAGAGAACCAAACAGUUGGACUGGGAGUGUGAGAGAACCAAACAGUUGGACUGGGGGUGUGAGAGAACCAGACAGUUGGACUGGGGGUGUGAGAGAACCAGACAGUUGGACUGGGGGAGUGAGAGAACCAGACAGUUGGACUGGGAGUGUGAGAGAACCAAACAGUUGGACUGGGGGUGUGAGAGAACCAGACAGUUGGACUGGGAGUGUGAGAGAACCAGACAGUUGGACUGGGAGUGUGAGAGAACCAGACAGUUGGACUGGGGGAGUGAGAGAACCAGACAGUUGGACUGGGGAUGUGAGAGAACCAAACAGUUGGACUGGGGGUGUGAGAGAACCAGACAGUUGGACUGGGGGUGUGAGAGAACCAGACAGUUGGACUGGGGGAGUGAGAGAACAAGACAGUUGGACUGGGGGUGUGAGAGAACCAAACAGUUGGACUGGGGGUGUGAGAGAACCAGACAGUUGGACUGGGAGUGUGAGAGAACCAGACAGUUGGACUGGGGAGUGAGAGAACCAGACAGUUGGACUGGGGGUGUGAGAGAACCAGACAGUUGGACUGGGGGUGUGAGAGAACCAGACAGUUGGACUGGGGGAGUGAGAGAACCAGACAGUUGGACUGGGAGUGUGAGAGAACCAAACAGUUGGACUGGGGGUGUGAGAGAACCAGACAGUUGGACUGGGAGUGUGAGAGAACCAGACAGUUGGACUGGGGAGUGAGAGAACCAGACAGUUGGACUGGGGGUGUGAGAGAACCAGACAGUUGGACUGGGGGAGUGAGAGAACCAGACAGUUGGACUGGGGAG
This 1749-nucleotide long non-coding RNA is filed under the name Salmo salar (Atlantic salmon). RNAcentral's name for it is "lncRNA (ENSSSAG00000120744.1)". Lineage: Eukaryota; Metazoa; Chordata; Actinopteri; Salmoniformes; Salmonidae. The record is from RNAcentral.